Molecule: ribosomal RNA, 189 nt
Filed under: Triticum aestivum (bread wheat)
Lineage: Eukaryota; Viridiplantae; Streptophyta; Magnoliopsida; Poales; Poaceae
Description: partial small subunit ribosomal RNA
Source: RNAcentral
GCGGUGGAGGUGGACAGGAUCCGGGCCAUGUGGAGAACGGGGGAGUCGUUCAGACCGACGGCUUUGCCCGGCCGCGCAGGCGCACAAGAAGGCGGCCACGUAGCUCAGCCGUCCGGCGACGGAAAUGGAACGCCAACACCUGAUGGUGCCAUGGCUUGGCCGGCCAAGGAUCAGGCUGCUGGCGCUGGC